GAUGAACGCUGGCGGCGUGCCUAAUACAUGCAAGUCGAGCGAACAGACGAGGAGCUCGCUCCUCUGACGUUAGCGGCGGACGGGUGAGUAACACGUGGAUAACCUACCUAUAAGACUGGGAUAACUUCGGGAAACCGGAGCUAAUACCGGAUAAUAUAUUGAACCGCAUGGUUCAAUAGUGAAAGACGGUUUUGCUGUCACUUAUAGAUGGAUCCGCGCCGCAUUAGCUAGUUGGUAAGGUAACGGCUUACCAAGGCGACGAUGCGUAGCCGACCUGAGAGGGUGAUCGGCCACACUGGAACUGAGACACGGUCCAGACUCCUACGGGAGGCAGCAGUAGGGAAUCUUCGGCAAUGGGCGAAAGCCUGACGGAGCAACGCCGCGUGAGUGAUGAAGGUCUUCGGAUCGUAAAACUCUGUUAUUAGGGAAGAACAAAUGUGUAAGUAACUAUGCACGUCUUGACGGUACCUAAUCAGAAAGCCACGGCUAACUACGUG
This 497-nucleotide ribosomal RNA is filed under the name uncultured bacterium. RNAcentral describes it as "partial 16S ribosomal RNA". It matches the Rfam family "Bacterial small subunit ribosomal RNA", at positions 28 to 507 of the family's 1533-position model. The record is from RNAcentral.